AUCCUAAUCUUUCUGCUCCACCUUUCUCA
Molecule: non-coding RNA, 29 nt
Filed under: Rattus norvegicus (Norway rat)
Lineage: Eukaryota; Metazoa; Chordata; Mammalia; Rodentia; Muridae
Source: RNAcentral